UACGUAGGGGGCAAGCGUUAUCCGGAUUUACUGGGUGUAAAGGGAGCGCAGACGGCAAUGCAAGUCUGAAGUGAAAGCCCGGGGCUCAACCCCGGUACUGCUUUGGAAACUGUAUAGCUAGAGUACUGGAGAGGCAAGUGGAAUUCCUAGUGUAGCGGUGAAAUGCGUAGAUAUUAGGAGGAACACCAGUGGCGAAGGCGGCUUGCUGGACAGUAACUGACGUUGAGGCUCGAAAGCGUGGGGAGCAAACAGG
RNAcentral lists this ribosomal RNA (253 nucleotides) under uncultured bacterium. Its description in RNAcentral is "partial 16S ribosomal RNA". It matches the Rfam family "Bacterial small subunit ribosomal RNA", at positions 524 to 776 of the family's 1533-position model. The record is from RNAcentral.